This 253-nucleotide ribosomal RNA is filed under the name uncultured bacterium. Its description in RNAcentral is "partial 16S ribosomal RNA". It matches the Rfam family "Bacterial small subunit ribosomal RNA", at positions 524 to 776 of the family's 1533-position model. The record is from RNAcentral.
UACGAAGGGGGCUAGCGUUGUUCGGAAUUACUGGGCGUAAAGGGCGCGUAGGCGGUGUGUCAAGUCAGGCGUGAAAGCCCUGGGCUCAACCUGGGAGUGGCGCUUGAUACUGGAGGACUAGAGAGUGGGAGAGGUUGGUGGAAUUCCCAGUGUAGAGGUGAAAUUCGUAGAUAUUGGGAAGAACACCGGUGGCGAAGGCGGCCAACUGGACCAUUUCUGACGCUGAGGCGCGAAAGCGUGGGGAGCAAACAGG